GAUGAACGCUAGCGGGAGGCCUAACACAUGCAAGUCGAGCGGUAGAGUCUCUUCGGAGACUUGAGAGCGGAGCACGGGUGCGGAACACGUGUGCAACCUGCCUUUAUCUGGGGGAUAGCCUUUCGAAGGGAAGAUUAAUACCCCAUAAUAUACUGGAUGGCAUCAUCUGGUAUUGAAAACUCCGGUGGAUAGAGAUGGGCACGCGCAAGAUUAGAUAGUUGGUGAGGUAACGGCUCACCAAGUCAGCGAUCUUUAGGGGGCCUGAGAGGGUGAUCCCCCACACUGGUACUGAGACACAGACCACACUCCUACGCGAGGCAGCAGUGUGGAAUAUUAGACAAUGGGUGAGAGCCUGAUCCAGCCAUCCCACGUGAAGGACGACGGCCCUAUGGGUUGUAAACUUCUUUUGUAUAGAGAUAAACCUAGAUACGUGUAUCUAGCUGAAGGUACUAUACGAAUAAGCACCGGCUAACUCCGUG
Molecule: ribosomal RNA, 479 nt
Filed under: uncultured bacterium
Lineage: Bacteria
Description: partial 16S ribosomal RNA
Rfam family: Bacterial small subunit ribosomal RNA
Source: RNAcentral